CCUACGGGAGGCAGCAGUAGGGAAUCUUCGGCAAUGGACGAAAGUCUGACCGAGCAACGCCGCGUGAGUGAAGAAGGUUUUCGGAUCGUAAAGCUCUGUUGUAAGUCAAGAACGUGUGUGAGAGUGGAAAGUUCACACAGUGACGGUAGCUUACCAGAAAGGGACGGCUAACUACGUGCCAGCAGCCGCGGUAAUACGUAGGUCCCGAGCGUUGUCCGGAUUUAUUGGGCGUAAAGGGAGCGCAGGCGGUCAGGAAAGUCUGGAGUAAAAGGCUAUGGCUCAACCAUAGUGUGCUCUGGAAACUGUCUGACUUGAGUGCAGAAGGGGAGAGUGGAAUUCCAUGUGUAGCGGUGAAAUGCGUAGAUAUAUGGAGGAACACCAGUGGCGAAAGCGGCUCUCUGGUCUGUCACUGACGCUGAGGCUCGAAAGCGUGGGUAGCGAACAGGAUUAGAUACCCCAGUAGUC
RNAcentral lists this ribosomal RNA (465 nucleotides) under uncultured Streptococcus sp. RNAcentral's name for it is "bacterial SSU rRNA". It matches the Rfam family "Bacterial small subunit ribosomal RNA", at positions 338 to 795 of the family's 1533-position model. Lineage: Bacteria; Bacillati; Bacillota; Bacilli; Lactobacillales; Streptococcaceae. The record is from RNAcentral.